RNAcentral lists this ribosomal RNA (239 nucleotides) under uncultured bacterium. Its description in RNAcentral is "partial 16S ribosomal RNA". It matches the Rfam family "Bacterial small subunit ribosomal RNA", at positions 523 to 747 of the family's 1533-position model. The record is from RNAcentral.
GUACGUAGGGGGCUAGCGUUGUCCGGAAUCAUUGGGCGUAAAGCGCGUGUAGGCGGUCCGGUAAGUCCCGCUGUGAAAGUCGGGGGCUCAACCCUCCGAAUGCCGGGUGGAUACUGUUCGGGCUUACGAGUGCGGAAGAGGCGGAGUGAAUUCCCUGGUCGUAGCGGUGAAAUGCGCAGAGUAAUCAGGAGGAACAACCAAUUGCGAAGGCAGACCUCGCAGGGACGGGUAACUGCGCU